CGGCAAAAGCUCAAAUUUGAAAUCUGGUACCUUUGGUGCCCGAGUUGUAAUUUGGAGAGUACCACUUUGGGACUGUACUUUGCCUAUGUUCCUUGGAACAGGACGUCAUGGAGGGUGAGAAUCCCGUGUGGCGAGGGUGUCAGUUCUUUGUAAAGGGUGCUCGAAGAGUCGAGUUGUUUGGGAAUGCAGCUCUAAGUGGGUGGUAAAUUCCAUCUAAAGCUAAAUACAGGCGAGAGACCGAUAGCGAACAAGUACAGUGAUGGAAAGAUGAAAAGAACUUUGAAAAGAGAGUGAAAAAGUACGUGAAAUUGUUGAAAGGGAAGGGCAUUUGAUCAGACAUGGUGUUUUGCGCCCCUUGCCUCUCGUGGGCUUGGGACUCUCGCAGCUCACUGGGCCAGCAUCGGUUUUGGCGGCCGGAAAAAACCUAGGGAAUGUGGCUCUGCGCCUCGGUGUAGAGUGUUAUAGCCCUGGGGAAUACGGCCAGCCGGGACCGAGGACUGCGAUACUUGUUAUCUAGGAUGCUGGCAUAAUGGUUAUAUGCCGCCCGUC
RNAcentral lists this ribosomal RNA (549 nucleotides) under Nakaseomyces glabratus. RNAcentral describes it as "[Candida] glabrata partial large subunit ribosomal RNA". It matches the Rfam family "Eukaryotic large subunit ribosomal RNA", at positions 99 to 653 of the family's 3401-position model. The record is from RNAcentral. Lineage: Eukaryota; Fungi; Ascomycota; Saccharomycetes; Saccharomycetales; Saccharomycetaceae.